This 320-nucleotide unclassified non-coding RNA is filed under the name Hevea brasiliensis (rubber tree). The record is from RNAcentral. Lineage: Eukaryota; Viridiplantae; Streptophyta; Magnoliopsida; Malpighiales; Euphorbiaceae.
AUAUAAUCUUUACGUUUAGGAAAAUAUCAUAAAAAAAUAAUAAAUUUAAAUAAUAUAAGAGAUUUAAAGAGUAAAGGAAGAUAAAGAGCCUUCCUCUUUUGUAAUGCUUAGUUCUUCUUUCUUUCCUUCUUAGUAUUGGUUGCCUUUGCCCCUUUCGAACAAGGGUGGCUCCUCCAUCGUCCGCCCAGUUGUGGAUUGCUCUCCCCUACCUCAAGGUGGGUUGUAAAUAGGAUUUUGUUCUUGAUUUUCAAUAGAUCUGCACUUCAAUUGAGAGAGAGUCUAUGUUAAAAUCUGUUUUUUUUUGCUUCUAAGUUUUUUUU